AGCAGUCGCCACGGGAAUACAGAGGAUGCAAGCGUUAUCUGGAAUAAUUGGGUGUAAAGCGUCUGUAGGUGGCUUUUCAAGUCCACCGUCAAAUCCCAGGGCUCAACCCUGGACAGGCGGUGGAAACUACCAAGCUAGAGUACGGUAGGGGCAGAGGGAAUUUCCGGUGGAGCGGUGAAAUGCGUUGAGAUCGAAAAGAACACCAACGACGAAAGCACUCUGCUGGGUCGACACUGACACUGAGAGACGAGAGCUAGGGGAGCAAAUGGGAUUAGAGACCCCAGUAGUCCCUGUCUCUUAUAC
Molecule: ribosomal RNA, 303 nt
Filed under: uncultured bacterium
Lineage: Bacteria
Description: partial 16S ribosomal RNA
Rfam family: Bacterial small subunit ribosomal RNA
Source: RNAcentral